Molecule: ribosomal RNA, 429 nt
Filed under: Gemmatimonadota bacterium
Lineage: Bacteria; Pseudomonadati; Gemmatimonadota
Description: Gemmatimonadetes bacterium partial 16S ribosomal RNA
Rfam family: Bacterial small subunit ribosomal RNA
Source: RNAcentral
UAGGGAAUCUUCGGCAAUGGACGAAAGUCUGACCGAGCAACGCCGCGUGAGUGAAGAAGGUUUUCGGAUCGUAAAACUCUGUUGUUAGAGAAGAACAAGGACGUUAGUAACUGAUCGUCCCCUGACGGUAUCUAACCAGAAAGCCACGGCUAACUACGUGCCAGCAGCCGCGGUAAUACGUAGGUGGCAAGCGUUGUCCGGAUUUAUUGGGCGUAAAGCGAGCGCAGGCGGUUUCUUAAGUCUGAUGUGAAAGCCCCCGGCUCAACCGGGGAGGGUCAUUGGAAACUGGGAGACUUGAGUGCAGAAGAGGAGAGUGGAAUUCCAUGUGUAGCGGUGAAAUGCGUAGAUAUAUGGAGGAACACCAGUGGCGAAGGCGGCUCUCUGGUCUGUAACUGACGCUGAGGCUCGAAAGCGUGGGGAGCAAACAGG